RNAcentral lists this ribosomal RNA (429 nucleotides) under Bacillota bacterium. Its description in RNAcentral is "Firmicutes bacterium partial 16S ribosomal RNA". It matches the Rfam family "Bacterial small subunit ribosomal RNA", at positions 355 to 776 of the family's 1533-position model. Lineage: Bacteria; Bacillati; Bacillota. The record is from RNAcentral.
UAGGGAAUCUUCGGCAAUGGACGGAAGUCUGACCGAGCAACGCCGCGUGAGUGAAGAAGGUUUUCGGAUCGUAAAGCUCUGUUGUUAGAGAAGAACGUUGGUAGGAGUGGAAAAUCUACCAAGUGACGGUAACUAACCAGAAAGGGACGGCUAACCACGUGCCAGCAGCCGCGGUAAUACGUAGGUCCCGAGCGUUGUCCGGAUUUAUUGGGCGUAAAGCGAGCGCAGGCGGUUCUUUAAGUCUGAAGUUAAAGGCAGUGGCUUAACCAUUGUACGCUUUGGAAACUGGAGGACUUGAGUGCAGAAGGGGAGAGUGGAAUUCCAUGUGUAGCGGUGAAAUGCGUAGAUAUAUGGAGGAACACCGGUGGCGAAAGCGGCUCUCUGGUCUGUAACUGACGCUGAGGCUCGAAAGCGUGGGGAGCAAACAGG